RNAcentral lists this ribosomal RNA (1036 nucleotides) under Pseudomonas aeruginosa. RNAcentral describes it as "bacterial SSU rRNA". It matches the Rfam family "Bacterial small subunit ribosomal RNA", at positions 72 to 1104 of the family's 1533-position model. Lineage: Bacteria; Pseudomonadati; Pseudomonadota; Gammaproteobacteria; Pseudomonadales; Pseudomonadaceae. The record is from RNAcentral.
AAGGGAGCUUGCUCCUGGAUUCAGCGGCGGACGGGUGAGUAAUGCCUAGGAAUCUGCCUGGUAGUGGGGGAUAACGUCCGGAAACGGGCGCUAAUACCGCAUACGUCCUGAGGGAGAAAGUGGGGGAUCUUCGGACCUCACGCUAUCAGAUGAGCCUAGGUCGGAUUAGCUAGUUGGUGGGGUAAAGGCCUACCAAGGCGACGAUCCGUAACUGGUCUCCGAGGAUGAUCAGUCACACUGGAACUGAGACACGGUCCAGACUCCUACGGGAGGCAGCAGUGGGGAAUAUUGGACAAUGGGCGAAAGCCUGAUCCAGCCAUGCCGCGUGUGUGAAGAAGGUCUUCGGAUUGUAAAGCACUUUAAGUUGGGAGGAAGGGCAGUAAGUUAAUACCUUGCUGUUUUGACGUUACCAACAGAAUAAGCACCGGCUAACUUCGUGCCAGCAGCCGCGGUAAUACGAAGGGUGCAAGCGUUAAUCGGAAUUACUGGGCGUAAAGCGCGCGUAGGUGGUUCAGCAAGUUGGAUGUGAAAUCCCCGGGCUCAACCUGGGAACUGCAUCCAAAACUACUGAGCUAGAGUACGGUAGAGGGNNNUGGAAUUUCCUGUGUAGCGGUGAAAUGCGUAGAUAUAGGAAGGAACACCAGUGGCGAAGGCGACCACCUGGACUGAUACUGACACUGAGGUGCGAAAGCGUGGGGAGCAAACAGGAUUAGAUUCCCUGGUAGUAAACGCCGUAAACGAUGUCGACUAGCCCUUGGGAUCCUUGAGAUCUUAGUGGCGCAGCUAACGCGAUAAGUCGACCGCCUGGGGAGUACGGCCGCAAGGUUAAAACUCAAAUGAAUNNNCGGGGGCCCGCACAAGCGGUGGAGCAUUUGGUUUAAUUCGAAGNNACGCGAAGAACCUUACCUGGCCUUNNCAUGCUGAGAACUUUCCAGACCUUGAUUGGUGCCUUCGGGAACUCNNACACAGGUGCUGCAUGGCUGUCGUCANNUCGUGUCGUGAGAUNNUGGGUUAANNCCCGUAACGAGCGCAACCC